CCAGGAUCCCAUGUGGGAAGGUCAGGAUUUCUCGUGGGAACAUCGGGAUUCCAUGUGGGAACGUCCAAAUUCCACGUGGGACUGUCCAAAUUCCACGUGGGAAUUCCAGGAUCCCAUGUGGGAACGUCAGGAUUUCACGUGGGAACAUCGGGAUUCCACGUGGGAAGGCUAGGAUGUUGUAGGAACACCAGGAUUCCACGUGGGAAUGUCAGGGUUCCGCAUGGGAACAUCGGGAUUCCGUGUGGGAACGUCAGGAUUCCGUGUGGGAACAUCAGAAUCCUGUAGGAACACCAGGAUUCCACGUGGGAAGGUCAGGGUUCCGCAUGGGAACAUCGGGAUUCCGUGUGGGAACGUCAGGAUUCCACAUGGGAACGUCGGCAUCCUGUAGGAACACCAGGAUUCCACGUGGGAAGGUCAGGAUUCCAUGUGGGAACAUCGGGAUCCUGUAGGAACACCAGGAUUCCACGUGGGAACACCAGGAUUCCACGUGGGAACGUCCAAAUUCCACGUGGGACUGUCCAAAUUCCAUGUGGGAAUGUCAGGAUUCCACGUGGGAACAUCGGGAUUCCGUGUGGAAAGGUCAGGAUUCCGUGUGGGAACGUCGGGAUCCUGUAGGAACACCAGGAUUCCACAUGGGAACACCAGGAUUCCACGUGGGACUGUCCAAAUUCCACGUGGGAACGUCAGGAUUCCGUGUGGGACUGUCCAAAUUCCACAUGGGAAUGUCGGGGUCCCGGUGGGAACGCCGGGAUCCCUUUGGACCGUGCGCUCUCUCUCUCUCUCUCCACGCUCAGAUCAGAUCUCUCUCGAUAAACCACGGCUCCAACGCCUGCUCCGGUUUUUGGGGAGCGACGGAACCGGGAUCCGGGAAUGGGGAUCUGGGCAUGGGAAUUGGGAUCCAGGAAUGGGAAUGGGGAUCCGGGAAUGGGAAUGGGGAUCUGGACAUGGGAGUUGGGAUCUGGGCAUGGGAAUUGGGAUCUGGGGAUGGGAAUUGGGAUCCAGGAAUGGGAAUUGGAAUCUGGGCAUGGGAGUUGGAAUCCAGAGCUGGGAGUUGGGAUCUGGAACUUGGAAUUGGGAUCUGGAGCUGGGAAUUGGGAUCCAGGCCCAAGAAUUGGGAUCUGGGCCCAGGAGUUGGGAUCUGGGCACGGGAAUUGGGGAUCCAGGCAUGGGAACUGGGAUCAGGGCCAGGAACUGGGAUCCAGGGCUGGGAGUUUGGAUCCAGCCCCUGGAAUUGGGAUCCAGGCACAGGAGUUGGGAUCUGGGCACGGGAAUUGGGAUCUGGGGAUGGGAAUUGGGAUCUGGACAUGGGAAUGGGGAUCCAGGUGUUGGGAUCAAGAGUUGGGAAUUGGGAUCCGGGCACGGGAAUGGGGAUCUGGGUGAGAAAUUGGGUCCAGGGCUGGGAAUUGGGAUCUGGGCAUGGGAGUUGGGAUCCCGGGCUGGGAAUUGGGAUCCAGGGCUGGGAGUUGGAAUCUGGGCACGGGAGUUGGGAUCCAGCCCCGGGAUUUGGGAUCCAGCCCCAGGAUUGGGAUCCAGCCCCAGAAUUGGGAUCCGGCCCCAGGAUUUGGGAUCCAGCCCCGGAAUUGGGAUCUGGCCCCAGGAUUUGGGAUCCAGCCCCGGAUUUUGGAUCCAGUCCCGGGAUUUGGGAAUUCAGCCCAGUGUCCCCAACCCUNGGGAAUUUUGGGAAUUUUUGGGAUAUUUGGGAAUUGGAGACUCGGCUAUCCCAUGGGAAAUUUGGGAAUUUUGGGGUUUUUGGGAACGGGAGGACUCGGGUAUUCCAUGGCAAAUUUGGGAAUUUGGGGAAUUUUUGGGGUUUUUGGGAAUGGGGGACUCUGGUAUUCCAUGGGAAGUUUGGGAAUUUUGGGAUAUUUGGCAUUUGGGAAUGAGGGACUCUGGUAUUCCAUGGGAAUUUUGGAGUUUUUGGGAAUUUUGGUAUUUUUGGGAAUGGGGGACUCGGGUAUCCCAUGGGAAAUUCAGGAAAUUCGGGAAUUUUGGGGUUUUUGAGAAUGGGGGACUCGGGUGUUCCGUGGGAAAUUUGGGAAUUUUUGGGGUUUUGGGGAUAUUUGGGAUUUGGGUAUGGGGGACUCCGGUAUCCCAUGGGAAUUUUGGGAAUUCUGGGGUUUUGGGGAUAUUUGGAAUUCCAGAAUCCCAAUGGCAAUUUUGGGGUUUUUGGGAUCCCAUGGGAUAUUUUGGAAUGGGAGAUUCCGGCAUUCUAAUGGGAAUUUUGGGAAUUUCAUUAAUUUUGGGAUUUCUAGGAAUGGGAAACUCCGGUAUCCCGAAAGAAUUUUGGGAUUUUAUUUGGGAAUAGGGGACUCCAGUCUCCCAAUGGAAAUUUGGGGAUAUUUGGGAUUUUUAGAAAUGGAAAACUUCGGGAUCCCAAAGGAAUUUGGGGGGUUUUGGGAAUAUUUGGGAAUGGGGGACUCGGGUAUCCCAACAGGGAUUUUGGGAUAUUUGGGGUUUUUUGGGAAUGGGGAACUGCAAUAUCCCAAGGGAUUUUUGGGAUUUGGGAAUUGGGGACUCCACUAUCCAGUGGGAAUUUUGGGGUUUUUGGGAUAUUUGGGAAUGGGACGCUCUGGUAUCCAAUGGGAAUUUUGGGGAUUUUGGGGUUUGGGGGAUUUUGGGAUAUUUGGGAAUAGGGGACUCCGUUAUCCCAGCGGAAAUUUUGGGAUAUUUAGGAUUUUUCAGAAUGGGAAACUCUGGUAUCCCAAAGGAAUUUUGGGAAUUUUGCAGAUUCUAAGGGGUUUUGGAAAUAAGGGCCACUGGGAUUCCAUGGGAAUUUUGGGAUAUUUAAGAAUGGGGGACUCGGGUGUCCCAACAGGAACUUUGGGAUAUUUGGGAUAUUUUGGGAAUGGGGAACUGCGAUAUCCCAAGGGAAUUUNGGAUUGGGAUUGGGAUUGGGAUUGGGAUGGGAUUGGAUUGGGAUGGGAUUGGGAUUGGGAUGGGAUUGGGAUGGGAUUGGGAUUGGGAUGGGAUUGGGAUCGGGAUUGGGAUUGGAUUGGGAUGGGAUUGGGAUUGGAUUGGGAUUGGAUUGGGAUGGGAUUGGGAUGGGAUUGGGAUUGGGAUUGGAUUGGGAUUAGGAUGGGAUUGGGAUUGGAUGGGAUUGGAUUGGGAUGGGAUUGGGAUGGGAUUGGGAUGGGAUUGGGAUUGGGAUGGGAUUGGGAUUGGGAUUGGGAAUGGAGUUUAAAUUGGGAUUGGAUUGGGAUUAGGGCUGGGAUCGGGAUUGGGAUUGAGAUUGGAUUGGGAUUGGGAUUGGGAUGGGAUUGGGAUGGGAUUGGAUUGGAAUUAGGGCUGGGAUCGGGAUUGGGAUU
RNAcentral lists this long non-coding RNA (3305 nucleotides) under Zonotrichia albicollis (white-throated sparrow). Its description in RNAcentral is "lncRNA (ENSZALG00000002801.1)". The record is from RNAcentral. Lineage: Eukaryota; Metazoa; Chordata; Aves; Passeriformes; Passerellidae.